UAAACUAGGAUUAGAUACCCUAUUAUUUUAAAUGUUUAUUUUUAUAUUAAAUUAUUAAUAGUUAUGUUCUUUAAAAUUAAAAAAUUUGGCGGUAUUUUAGUCUUUUCAGAGGAACCUGUCCUGUAAUUGAUAGUCCACGAUUAGGGAUACUUUAUUUAUUAAUUUACAUAUCGUCGUAGUUUGAAUAUUUUAUUAGAAUUAUAAUAUUCAAGAUUUUAUUUUAGAAAAUAUAUCAGAUCAAGGUGUAGUUUAUAAUAAAGAAGAGGUGGGUUACAAUAAAUUUAUUUUUGAAUAAAUUUUUUGAAAAAAUUUUGAAUUUGGAUUUGAAAGUAAUUUUUUGAGUUUUACUAAAAAUGAUUAUAGCUCUAAAAUAUGUACACAUCGCCCGUCGCUCUUAA
This 398-nucleotide ribosomal RNA is filed under the name Bruchidius nigricornis. RNAcentral's name for it is "partial 12S ribosomal RNA". Lineage: Eukaryota; Metazoa; Arthropoda; Insecta; Coleoptera; Chrysomelidae. The record is from RNAcentral.